RNAcentral lists this ribosomal RNA (230 nucleotides) under uncultured bacterium. RNAcentral describes it as "partial 16S ribosomal RNA". It matches the Rfam family "Bacterial small subunit ribosomal RNA", at positions 104 to 334 of the family's 1533-position model. The record is from RNAcentral.
CGGGGUGAGUAAUGUAUGGGGAUCUGCCCCGAUAGAGGGGGAUAACUACUGGAAACGGUGGCUAAUACCGCAUAAUGUCUACGGACCAAAGCAGGGGCUCUUCGGACCUUGCACUAUCGGAUGAACCCAUAUGGGAUUAGCUAGUUGGUGAGGUAACGGCUCACCAAGGCAACGAUGCAUAGCCGACCUGAGAGGGUGAUCGGCCACAUUGGGACUGAGACACGGCCCAA